CCCAACCGAGGUAAGAGAGAUUAUCCCUGUUGAUUCUAUAUUUUAGCUUUUUUAAAGUCGUCUAAUCAUGGUUAUCAUUCUUAGAUAUGUUGCUACUUCUACUCCUGGGACUUGUCAUGAGAAGCCGAGUUUUAACGUUUGGUCUUUUGAUGGCCACCUACUCUACCAAUUAUAGAAGGAUCUCUUCACAAAGUUUUCAUGGCGACCAAGGCCACUCAACAUGGCGACCAAGGCCACUCAACAUGGCGACUAAGGCUAUUAUGGGGUCCAUGAGCCAUAACAGCUUGCAUUCACUCAACAUGGAAGAUGAUGAGUAUUCACUCAACAUGGAAGAUGAUGAUAAUUCCAUGAGUUUGACUGGGGGUAUCAAGAAGUCUGUGGCUUUCAUGGAAAAGUUUCACGAAGAUUUGGAUGCCUUUUAUAGGCUGGAUGAUGAGGAAAGGCAGUUAUUGAUAGACCUCAAGUACCUCACUUUGAGCCCCGCUUCUCAAAAACCUAAGGAGAAAGAUGUAGUCAUAGUUAUCAGUGAUGAUGAGGAGGAAAAGCAUGUAUUGAUGAACCUUAAAUACCUUGCUUCGAGCUCCACUUCUAAAAAACCUGAGGGGGCAGAUGUAGUCAUAGGUAUCAGUGACGAGGAGGAAAAGAUGGCUUUGCAGCCAUCUUCUCCAAAGAAAACACUUCCAAUGGCUGGGCAAACCAAGGAAAGACGGUUCCAUAGAAAAUGGACCAAAGAAGAAGAAGAGGCUUUAAGGCAUGGUUAUAAAAAGUAUAAAACAAAUUGGAAAUUGAUUUUGGGUGAUCCAGCCUACAAAGCUUGCCAUGGCAGAACUAAUGUUGAUUUGAAAGACAAAUGGCGGAAUUUGAUGAGGGCUGAUGACAGGGCUAAGGCGAAGGCCUGCUACUCAUUACCAAGUACGAAGCUAUGAGUUUCCCUCAAAAAUCUUAAAAACGAAUGGAAUUGAUGGUACGUGAGACAUGUUGACAUUUUUGCUGUAUAUGGAGAGCUUGGUUUGUCUGUUCCAAGGUGAUUCGCAGCAGGCUGUCUUCGUUAUCAGAAGCUAUACCAAAGGGAAAUCACAAAUCUUGUAGUUUUAAUUCAAAUCAUUUUACAGCACUGAAAACUAAAUUUUGAUUCUUCCUACAAGAUACUAUGCUUGAAAAUAAUAACUCAGUUGGCUUGUUCAAUACUAGUUACGUGUGCAUCUUGACUGGUAUGAGAUGACAUUGAUUUUUGAAUCAGUAUGCAUGCAGUUCAAGGUCGAAUUCUUGAUAUUGUUGGAGAAGUUGUAAUUGAUUUCAUGUUUGCGGGUGGUUUCAUGGACAUUAACAGGAGUCCAAAAGCUACUUUCAGCACUUCCUGAUAACUUUCUGUUUCUUGUCUGUACAGCUGAUAGAUUGCACACAACAUGCUGGGAUUGCACAACUUUUCAGAGCACAACUGCACAAUUGUGUUCCGUUUAUCAAAUUUAAAUAUAAAAAUGGAACUUUUGAUUGUAUUUUCCAAUUCAAAUUCAACUAGAAUAUACUUCCUGACUUGUCCAUC
Rosa chinensis is the source of this 1543-nucleotide RNA transcript. RefSeq lists it as uncharacterized. Lineage: Eukaryota; Viridiplantae; Streptophyta; Magnoliopsida; Rosales; Rosaceae. The record is from RefSeq and is a predicted model, not a curated record. The transcript is spliced from 6 exons.